Molecule: long non-coding RNA, 473 nt
Filed under: Salvia miltiorrhiza (redroot sage)
Lineage: Eukaryota; Viridiplantae; Streptophyta; Magnoliopsida; Lamiales; Lamiaceae
Description: long non-coding RNA (SMIL_LNC003235)
Source: RNAcentral
UAACUUUCAGUGGUGGGGGCUCCUGGUACACAUACUGUGGUAUGAACGCUUCAUUGAUGGCUGGUUGUUUCGGAGCCUCUCUCGUCUCCUGUGCGUCAAGCAGCUUCUUCAACUGCUCUUGCAGAGCUCGAAUUUGGAUUUGCUCUGGAGUAGCCAUCGUAUUAUCCUCAACUUGAUUCUGUUGCUUCUUAAGAUUGCGCAAAGUCUUGUCGAUUUCAGGGUCGAACUCAAAAAGAGGAUUUCCUUGAGAUCUAGUGUUCAUACGCAACCUACAGAAAAACAACUUAUAAAAGUUAGAAAAGAAAAAUAAAAACAAAAAAAACUUGCAGUACUAUAAAGUCCUAUUGGAAAUAUUAAAGCAAAAUCUAAACAGUCCCCGGCAACGGCGCCAAAAAGUUGAUCACUAUUUUAUUAGCGACAAAAGUACCGCAACUAACACGGUGUAAUCGUAGUAUAAACAGCAAUCGGAUAUC